UCAACCAAAUAGGGCAGGAUUGACCAGAAGCCUCUCUCUGACUUCCUGAGGGAUUUCAUAUGCAGAGGAAAAACACUAGGAAAUACACUAGGAGCACUUAACGCAUCUUUGGCUAUCCUGUGCUGCUAAAUUGAAUGCAGAAAGCAGCCACCAUUCACCAGAGAUUCUCAGUGCUUUCUUUCAGAGCCUGAGGCAUGGAUGCCACCUCUGAAUGGUGAUGGUGAAUCUGCAACAGCCUGAGGAACCAAACCUCAAAUGCAAAGGCAUCAGUAUUUAGACCAGGACAGAGAAGGCAUUCCCAAGUCACACUCUGAAAACAGUUCUACUUCUCCUUGAAAACUUCUACAGGACAUGGUCAUUGCCCAGUCAAUAUCCAAGUUAUCCUGUUUAAUAAAGAAAAUAACUUCCUUUA
This is a long non-coding RNA of Pipra filicauda (Wire-tailed manakin), 412 nucleotides long. RefSeq lists it as uncharacterized. The record is from RefSeq and is a predicted model, not a curated record. The transcript is spliced from 2 exons. Lineage: Eukaryota; Metazoa; Chordata; Aves; Passeriformes; Pipridae.